UAGAGACCGGCGCACGGGUGCGUAACGCGUAUGCAAUCUACCUUUUACAGGGGAAUAGCCCAGAGAAAUUUGGAUUAAUGCCCCAUAGUAUAUAAUAAUCGCAUGGUUUUUAUAUUAAAGUUCCAACGGUAAAAGAUGAGCAUGCGUCCCAUUAGUUAGUUGGUAAGGUAACGGCUUACCAAGACUAUGAUGGGUAGGGGUCCUGAGAGGGAGAUCCCCCACACUGGUACUGAGACACGGACCAGACUCCUACGGGAGGCAGCAGUGAGGAAUAUUGGACAAUGGGCGCAAGCCUGAUCCAGCCAUGCCGCGUGCAGGAAGACGCAUCUAUGGUGUGUAAACUGCUUUUGUACAGGAAGAAACACUCCCUCGUGAGGGAGCUUGACGGUACUGUAAGAAUAAGGAUCGGCUAACUCCGUGCCAGCAGCCGCGGUAAUACGGAGGAUCCAAGCGUUAUCCGGAAUCAUUGGGUUUAAAGGGUCCGUAGGCGGUUUAAUAAGUCAGUGGUGAAAGCCCAUCGCUCAACGAUGGAACGGCCAUUGAUACUGUUAGACUUGAAUUAUUAGGAAGUAACUAGAA
Molecule: ribosomal RNA, 579 nt
Filed under: uncultured bacterium
Lineage: Bacteria
Description: bacterial SSU rRNA
Rfam family: Bacterial small subunit ribosomal RNA
Source: RNAcentral